This 496-nucleotide ribosomal RNA is filed under the name uncultured bacterium. RNAcentral's name for it is "bacterial SSU rRNA". It matches the Rfam family "Bacterial small subunit ribosomal RNA", at positions 30 to 507 of the family's 1533-position model. The record is from RNAcentral.
AUGAACGCUAGCGGCAGGCUUAAUACAUGCAAGGUUGAGGGGCAGCAUGAUAUACGCGAGUAUAUUGAUGGCGACCGGCGGACGGGUGAGGUAAUAGGUAGGAGACCUACCUCAUACAGGGGGAUAGCAUAGAGAAAUCUGUGGUAAUACCCCAUGAGGUUAUAUGAAUAGAGGCAUAUAAUCAAAGCAUAAGUGAUUAUGCGGUAUGAGAGGGGCCUACUGACCAUUAGCUAGUUGGUGAGGUAAGGGCUCACCAAGGCGAAGAUGGUAGGGGUUUUGAGAGAGAGACCCCCCCACAUUGGAACUGAGAGACGGUCCAGACUCCUACGGGAGGCAGCAGUAGGGAAUAUUGGGCAAUGGGCGAAAGCCUGACCCAGCCAUGCCGCGUGAAGGAAGACGGCCUUAUGGGUUGUAAACUUCUUUACUACGCGAAUAGAGGUUAGUACGAGAUACUAAUAGGAAGGUAGUGUAGUAAAAAGCACCGGCUAACUCCGUG